Molecule: ribosomal RNA, 309 nt
Filed under: Lactiplantibacillus plantarum
Lineage: Bacteria; Bacillati; Bacillota; Bacilli; Lactobacillales; Lactobacillaceae
Description: bacterial SSU rRNA
Rfam family: Bacterial small subunit ribosomal RNA
Source: RNAcentral
UCGAACGAACUCUGGUAUUGAUUGGUGCUUGCAUCAUGAUUUACAUUUGAGUGAGUGGCGAACUGGUGAGUAACACGUGGGAAACCUGCCCAGAAGCGGGGGAUAACACCUGGAAACAGAUGCUAAUACCGCAUAACAACUUGGACCGCAUGGUCCGAGUUUGAAAGAUGGGCUUCGGCUAUCACUUUUGGAUGGUCCCGCGGCGUAUUAGCUAGAUGGUGGGGUAACGGCUCACCAUGGCAAUGAUACGUAGCCGACCUGAGAGGGUAAUCGGCCACAUUGGGACUGAGACACGGCCCAAACUCCUAC